This is a non-coding RNA of Strongylocentrotus purpuratus (purple sea urchin), 45 nucleotides long. The record is from Rfam. Lineage: Eukaryota; Metazoa; Echinodermata; Echinoidea; Camarodonta; Strongylocentrotidae.
CAAACAGUCCUUUUCAGGACUACACACUCAUGAAACAAAGAUUAC